Molecule: long non-coding RNA, 1584 nt
Organism: Chelonia mydas (Green sea turtle)
Lineage: Eukaryota; Metazoa; Chordata; Testudines; Cheloniidae
Exons: 3
Source: RefSeq, a predicted model, not a curated record
AUCUCUGUGGGGAGAAGGUUGUUUUCACCCUCUACCUGGAAGAAACCAAAACUACCCCGCCCUCUCCUCUGGACUCCUGUCACAGCCAGGGCUGGUUGUGCCCCUGCUCUCCCUCUGCAGAGCCCAGGGCUUCCUCCUCCAGCGUGGGGAUGGCUCCAUUCUUUUUGCACUGGCGGGGGAGGAUGCGGGUGCUCACGGGCCUGCCCGUUUGCAUUGUAUUAAACAUCACACAUUGCAAUGCCAUCUCUCAUGAUUUGCUCUGUAGAGGUAGGAGCGCAGGCGGGAGGUAUGUAGAUGCUGACGCACCAUCCAUUUUGUAUUGCAUUGCAAGCUCUCAUCGCUUGUAUUGAAAAGGGGGCAGAAUGCAGAUGCUGCUGCUCAGUCAAUCGUGCACUGUGUUAAGCACCACAUCGUGGGCGCUACCAGGAUAAAAAUAAAUAACAUUGCAAUGCAUACUACCGUGGUCUGUGUUGGCUGGAGUGGAAGGCAGAGCUAAAUGCAGAUGCGUUAUUCAGUUUGCUUUACACUGCAAUGCAGACUCCCUUGGAUGCAGGGAGGGAAGGUACAGAUGCUCAGUUCCUUUUGUGUCGCAUUAAACUUCAUAUUCCACUGCAAACUCGCGUGGUUUUCCACUGGAUGAGGCAGAGGCGGAGGAGUUAAAACGGUGGCGCCCUGUUACUUAUUUAAUGUGUGCACAUGGAGUGGGUGGAUGGUGGGAACGUAAAAUGCUGUAUCACUAGCAAUGCUUUCUCCUUUUUGUAUUGUACAGUAUUAAAAUUCACAAACUGCAAUGCAAUGAAAUCUAUCCAGAAACCAAAUCCUUCAGUCUUUACUCAGCCAAAAGCCCAGCUGAAAUCAAGGACAUUUUUCCUAGGUGCUAUGGAUAUGCACUGUAUUAUUAAUAAAACAGACUGUCCCAUUAGAAGAUGACAGAAAGGAUUAUAGACGGUCUACAAAAAUGAGCCCAACCGAACAAAUCCUUACUCACAGGAGUAAUCUUAUUGACUCAAUGCAUAAUUAAGGACCACGCACACACAAGGAAACGUUUGCAGGGCUAUUAAAAGACAGCCGCUGAUGCAUGUGUGAUAAGGUACAGAUCUGCUAAAUUGGUAAAUUAUUGGUAAUUAAUUGAUGGUAAAUGGUAAGUGGUAAUUGGUAUUAAAUUGAUGGUAAAUUAUUUAACUUGAGUUCUACUAAAACAUGUGCUCCUAACAUCACUUUUCCAACUUGAGUGUCAUCUCAUAAACAGGAAAGGAAAAAUAUUGCAGCGCUUAUCUAAAUAGUUCUGAUCCUCCAAAACCUAUGAAGGCGAGACACUGCGGAGAGAAUAUUUCAGGGCCGCUUUAUGUAGAGAUAGAUGCUUUCCCAAAUUACCUUAAUUAAAAAAAAAAAAAAGAAUUAAUCUGCAAUUAUGUCACUUUGUGCUAUGGCACUACCAGAUCUCAGGGCUUGUCUACACUACCGGCUCGAUUGACAGGCAGUGAUCGAUUUAGCAGGGGUCGAUUUAUCAUGCCUAGUAUAGAUAAGUUUUAGAGUAGCAGCCGUGUUAGUCUGUAUCCGCAAAAAGAACAGGAGUACUUGUGG